This is a long non-coding RNA of Hordeum vulgare subsp. vulgare (domesticated barley), 292 nucleotides long. RefSeq lists it as uncharacterized. The transcript is spliced from 3 exons. The record is from RefSeq and is a predicted model, not a curated record. NCBI's taxonomy places the organism in Eukaryota, Viridiplantae, Streptophyta, Magnoliopsida, Poales, Poaceae.
AUUUCCGUUGUUGACACGGCCUCGGCGCUGGAUUAACAAUGCCUGGGUGAAGAGGCCGUUGUGUUCGUCGGUAGGUAAUUCUGGUGAAAGAAAUGCAUGCAGCUUGCACUGGUCUAAAGAAAUGACUGGUCUUGCAACUUGCCAUGGGAGUUCAAAUUCGCACGUCAAUUGCCGUGUUGUUUUACAAUCUUCUGCAUGCGACAAAGGUACUGCUCGUCAGCGCGAUGACGAGGGGGGUUGUAAGUUGAGGAUGACUCGGUGUUUGUGUUGGGCGAGACAUGCAGAUGGGAAG